RNAcentral lists this ribosomal RNA (536 nucleotides) under uncultured Desulfurobacterium sp. Its description in RNAcentral is "bacterial SSU rRNA". It matches the Rfam family "Bacterial small subunit ribosomal RNA", at positions 30 to 529 of the family's 1533-position model. The record is from RNAcentral. Lineage: Bacteria; Pseudomonadati; Aquificota; Aquificia; Desulfurobacteriales; Desulfurobacteriaceae.
CGCGAACGCUGUCGGCGUGCCUAACACAUGCAAGUCGUGGGGCAGCAGGCCAGUUCCUUCGGGAACUGGUGCUGGCGACCGGCGAACGGGUGAGUAACGCGUGAGCAACCUACCCCGAGGAGGGGGAUAACCCGGGGAAACCCGGGCUAAUACCCCAUAAGCGCACGGCCUGCAUGGGCUGUGUGAAAAGGGUGGCCUCUGCAUAGCAAGCUGCCGCCUCGGGAUGGGCUCGCGUCCCAUCAGGUAGUUGGUGAGGUAACGGCUCACCAAGCCUACGACGGGUAGCCGGCCUGAGAGGGUGGUCGGCCACACCGGGACUGAGACACGGCCCGGACUCCUACGGGAGGCAGCAGUGGGGAAUCUUGGGCAAUGGGCGCAAGCCUGACCCAGCGACGCCGAGUGGAGGAAGAAGCCCUUCGGGGUGUAAACUCCUGUCGCCGGGGACGAUGCGGGUGGGGGUUAAGAGCCCCCGCCCGUGACGGUACCCGGAGAGGAAGGGACGGCUAACUACGUGCCAGCAGCCGCGGUAAUACGUA